CUGAUGGAGGGGGAUAACUACUGGAAACGGUAGCUAAUACCGCAUAACGUCGCAAGACCAAAGAGGGGGACCUUCGGGCCUCUUGCCAUCCGAUGUGCCCAGAUGGGAUUAGCUAGUAGGUGGGGUAACGGCUCACCUAGGCGACGAUCCCUAGCUGGUCUGAGAGGAUGACCAGCCACACUGGAACUGAGACACGGUCCAGACUCCUACGGGAGGCAGCAGUGGGGAAUAUUGCACAAUGGGCGCAAGCCUGAUGCAGCCAUGCCGCGUGUAUGAAGAAGGCUUUCGGGUUGUAAAGUACUUUCAGCGGGGAGGAAGGUGUUGAGGUUAAUAACCUCAGCAAUUGACGUUACCCGCAGAAGAAGCACCGGCUAACUCCGUGCCAGCAGCCGCGGUAAUACGGAGGGUGCAAGCGUUAAUCGGAAUUACUGGGCGUAAAGCGCACGCAGGCGGUCUGUCAAGUCGGAUGCGAAAUCCCCGGGCUCAACCUGGGAACUGCAUUCGAAACUGGCAGGCUAGGGUCUUGUAGAGGGGGUAGAAUUCCAGGUGUAGCGGUGAAAUGCGUAGAGAUCUGGAGGAAUAC
RNAcentral lists this ribosomal RNA (583 nucleotides) under uncultured bacterium. Its description in RNAcentral is "bacterial SSU rRNA". It matches the Rfam family "Bacterial small subunit ribosomal RNA", at positions 130 to 709 of the family's 1533-position model. The record is from RNAcentral.